UAAUACGUAGGGGACGAGCGUUGUCCGGAUUUACUGGGCGUAAAGGGCGCGUAGGCGGUCAUUUAAGUCAGCUGUGAAAUGGUUUGGCUUAACCGGAUCAUGCGGUUGAAACUGGAUGACUGGAGUGCUGGAGAGGCAAGUGGAAUUCCCAGUGUAGCGGUGAAAUGCGUAGAUAUUGGGAAGAACACCGGUGGCGAAGGCGACUUGCUGGCCAGCAACUGACGCUGAGGCGCGAAAGCCAGGGGAGCAAACGGG
RNAcentral lists this ribosomal RNA (255 nucleotides) under uncultured bacterium. Its description in RNAcentral is "partial 16S ribosomal RNA". It matches the Rfam family "Bacterial small subunit ribosomal RNA", at positions 521 to 776 of the family's 1533-position model. The record is from RNAcentral.